UCAGUGGCGAACGGGUGAGUAACACGUGAGCAACCUGCCCCUGACUCUGGGAUAAGCGCUGGAAACGGCGUCUAAUACUGGAUAUGUGACGUGACCGCAUGGUUCGGCGUUUGGAAAGAUUUUUCGGUUGGGGAUGAGCUCGCGGCCGAUUCAGCUUGUAGGUGAGGUAAUGGCUCACCAAGGCGUCGAACGGGUAGCCGGCCUGAGGAGGGUGACCGGCCACCACUGGGACUGAGACACGGCCCAGACUCCUACGGGAGGCAGCAGUGGGGAAUAUUGCACAAUGGGCGGAAGCCUGAUGCAGCAACGCCGCGUGAGGGAUGACGGCCUUCGGGUUGUAAACCUCUUUUAGCAGGGAAGAAGCGAAAGUGACGGUACCUGCAGAAAAAGCGCCGGCUAACUACGUGCCAGCAGCCGCGGUAAUACGUAGGGCGCAAGCGUUAUCCGGGAAUUAUUGGGCGUAAAGAGCUCGUAGGCGGUUUGUCGCGUCUGCUGUGAAAUCCCGAGGCUCAACCUCGGGCCUGCAGUGGGUACGGGCAGACUAGAGUGCGGUAGGGGAGAUUGGAAUUCCUGGUGUAGCGGUGGAAUGCGCAGAUAUCAGGAGGAACACCGAUGGCGAAGGCAGAUCUCUGGGCCGUAACUGACGCUGAGGAGCGAAAGGGUGGGGAGCAAACAGGCUUAGAUACCCUGGUAGUCCACCCCGUAAACGUUGGGAACUAGUUGUGGGGUCCAUUCCACGGAUUCCGUGACGCAGCUAACGCAUUAAGUUCCCCGCCUGGGGAGUACGGCCGCAAGGCUAAAACUCAAAGGAAUUGACGGGGACCCGCACAAGCGGCGGAGCAUGCGGAUUAAUUCGAUGCAACGCGAAGAACCUUACCAAGGCUUGACAUAUACGAGAACGGGCCAGAAAUGGUCAACUCUUUGGACACUCGUAAACAGGUGGUGCAUGGUUGUCGUCAGCUCGUGUCGUGAGAUGUUGGGUUAAGUCCCGCAACGAGCGCAACCCUCGUUCUAUGUUGCCAGCACGUAAUGGUGGGAACUCAUGGGAUACUGCCGGGGUCAACUCGGAGGAAGGUGGGGAUGACGUCAAAUCAUCAUGCCCCUUAUGUCUUGGGCUUCACGCAUGCCUACAAUGACCGGUACAAAGGGCUGCAAUACCGUGAAGUGAACCGAAUCCCAAAAAGCCGGUCCCAGCUUCGGAAUUAAGGUUCUGGCAACUCUGACCUCAUGAAGUCGGAGUCGCUAGUAAUCGCAGAUCAGCAACGCUGCGGUGAAUACGUUCCCGGGUCUUGUACACACCGCCCGUCAAGUCAUGAAAGUCGGUAA
Molecule: ribosomal RNA, 1326 nt
Filed under: Microbacterium paraoxydans
Lineage: Bacteria; Bacillati; Actinomycetota; Actinomycetes; Micrococcales; Microbacteriaceae
Description: bacterial SSU rRNA
Rfam family: Bacterial small subunit ribosomal RNA
Source: RNAcentral